UUCGCUGCCAAAGCCAACAGGGGUGGCAAGGAAUUGGUGGAUUUCGAGAACAAAUGAUCUACAACAACAUGAUUUGGGGCCCAACAUUGGUGGAAACCUUCCUCCUUACAGACCAAGAGGAAGUCCACGAGGAAUUGAAGGACGA
RNAcentral lists this non-coding RNA (145 nucleotides) under Pseudo-nitzschia delicatissima. The record is from RNAcentral. Lineage: Eukaryota; Bacillariophyta; Bacillariophyceae; Bacillariales; Bacillariaceae.